UACAGAGGGUGCAAGCGUUAAUCGGAGUUACUGGGCGUAAAGCGCGCGUAGGUGGUUCGUUAAGUUGGAUGUGAAAUCCCCGGGCUCAACCUGGGAACUGCAUUCAAAACUGUCGAGCUAGAGUAUGGUAGAGGGUGGUGGAAUUUCCUGUGUAGCGGUGAAAUGCGUAGAUAUCGGAAGGAACACCAGUGGCGAAAGCGACUUCCUGGUCCAAUACUGACGUUCAUGUGCGAAAGCGUGGGGAGCAAACAGG
RNAcentral lists this ribosomal RNA (253 nucleotides) under uncultured bacterium. RNAcentral describes it as "partial 16S ribosomal RNA". It matches the Rfam family "Bacterial small subunit ribosomal RNA", at positions 524 to 776 of the family's 1533-position model. The record is from RNAcentral.